This 434-nucleotide ribosomal RNA is filed under the name uncultured bacterium. RNAcentral's name for it is "partial 16S ribosomal RNA". It matches the Rfam family "Bacterial small subunit ribosomal RNA", at positions 29 to 507 of the family's 1533-position model. The record is from RNAcentral.
AGCGAACGCUGGCGGCAGGCCUAACACAUGCAAGUCGAACGAACCUUUCGGGGUUAGUGGCGGACGGGUGAGUAACACGUGGGAACGUGCCUUUAGGUUCGGAAUCACUCAGGGAAACUUGUGCUAAUACCGAAUGUGCCCUUCGGGGGAAAGAUUAAUCGCCUUUAGAGCGGCCCGCGUCUGAUUAGCUAGUUGGUUGAGGUAAUGGCUCACCAAGGCGACGAUCAGUAGCUGGUCGGAGAGGAUGAUCAGCCACAUUGGGACUGAGACACGGCCCAAACUCCUACGGGAGGCAGCAGUGGGGAAUCUUGCGCAAUGGGCGAAAGCCUGACGCAGCCAUGCCGCGUGAAUGAUGAAGGUCGUAGGAUUGUAAAAUUCUUUCACCGGGGACGAGAAUGACGGUACCCGGAGAAGAAGCCCCGGCUAACUUCGUG